UACGUAGGGUGCGAGCGUUGUCCGGAAUUAUUGGGCGUAAAGGGCUCGUAGGCGGUUUGUCGCGUCGGGAGUGAAAACACCGGGCUUAACUCGGUGCUUGCUUUCGAUACGGGCAGACUAGAGGUAUGCAGGGGAGAACGGAAUUCCUGGUGUAGCGGUGAAAUGCGCAGAUAUCAGGAGGAACACCGGUGGCGAAGGCGCCACUCUGGGCCGAAACUGACGCUGAGGAGCGAAAGCAUGGGUAGCAAACAGG
This 253-nucleotide ribosomal RNA is filed under the name uncultured bacterium. RNAcentral's name for it is "partial 16S ribosomal RNA". It matches the Rfam family "Bacterial small subunit ribosomal RNA", at positions 524 to 776 of the family's 1533-position model. The record is from RNAcentral.